GAGUUUGAACCUGGCUCAGGAUGAACGCUGGCGGCGUGCUUAACACAUGCAAGUCGAACGAAGCAGGAGGGUGCUUGCACCUUCCUGCUGAGUGGCGGACGGGUGAGUAACACGUGGAUAAUCUGCCCUGCACAGGGGGACAACAGCUAGAAAUGGCUGCUAAUACCGCAUAAGCCUACAGCCUCGCAUGAGGGAGCAGGAAAAGAAAUUCGGUGCAGGAUGAGUCCGCGUCUGAUUAGCUAGUUGGAGGGGUAAGAGCCCACCAAGGCAACGAUCAGUAGCCGGCCUGAGAGGGCGACCGGCCACAUUGGGACUGAGACACGGCCCAAACUCCUACGGGAGGCAGCAGUGGGGAAUAUUGCACAAUGGGGGGAACCCUGAUGCAGCGACGCCGCGUGAGCGAGGAAGUAUUUCGGUAUGUAAAGCUCUAUCAGCAGGGACGAAAAAAGACGGUACCUGACUAAGAAGCCCCGGC
RNAcentral lists this ribosomal RNA (475 nucleotides) under uncultured bacterium. Its description in RNAcentral is "bacterial SSU rRNA". It matches the Rfam family "Bacterial small subunit ribosomal RNA", at positions 9 to 497 of the family's 1533-position model. The record is from RNAcentral.